GCCCGGGUGGCGGAACUGGUAGACGCAAGGGACUUAAAAUCCCUCGGGAGUUUAUCCCGUGCCGGUUCGAUUCCGGCCUCGGGCA
RNAcentral lists this transfer RNA (85 nucleotides) under Gammaproteobacteria bacterium RIFCSPHIGHO2_12_FULL_38_14. Its description in RNAcentral is "tRNA-Leu". It matches the Rfam family "tRNA". From Rfam's summary of the family: Transfer RNA (tRNA) molecules are approximately 80 nucleotides in length. Their secondary structure includes four short double-helical elements and three loops (D, anti-codon, and T loops). Further hydrogen bonds mediate the characteristic L-shaped molecular structure. tRNAs have two regions of fundamental functional importance: the anti-codon, which is responsible for specific mRNA codon recognition, and the 3' end, to which the tRNAs corresponding amino acid is attached (by aminoacyl-tRNA synthetases). tRNAs cope with the degeneracy of the genetic code in two manners: having more than one tRNA (with a specific anti-codon) for a particular amino acid; and 'wobble' base-pairing, i.e. permitting non-standard base-pairing at the 3rd anti-codon position. The record is from RNAcentral. Lineage: Bacteria; Pseudomonadati; Pseudomonadota; Gammaproteobacteria.